GCUCAGGAUGAACGCUGGCGGUCUGCUUAACACAUGCAAGUCGAACGGGCUCUUUCGGGAGCUAGUGGCGGACGGGUGAGUAACGCGUGAGGAUCUGCCCUUAGGACCGGGACAACAGCUGGAAACGGCUGCUAAUACCGGAUGUGCCGAGAGGUGAAACAUUUAUGGCCUGAGGAAGAGCUCACGUCUGAUUAGCUAGUUGGUAGUGUAAUGGACUACCAAGGCGACGAUCAGUAGCUGGUCUGAGAGGAUGACCAGCCACACUGGGACUGAGACACGGCCCAGACUCCUACGGGAGGCAGCAGUGGGGAAUUUUCCGCAAUGGGGGCAACCCUGACGGAGCAAGACCGCGUGGGGGAAGAAGGUUUGUGGAUUGUAAACCCCUUUUGAUUGGGAAGAAGACAGUGACGGUACCAAUCGAAUCAGCAUCGGCUAACUCCGUGCCAGCAGCCGCGGUAAUACGGAGGAUGCAAGCGUUAUCCGGAAUUAUUGGGCGUAAAGCGUCCGUAGGUGGAAGUUCAAGUCAGUUGUUAAAGCGUGAGGCUUAACCUCAUAAGGGCAAUUGAAACUGAGCAUCUAGAGUGCGAUAGGGGCAAGGGGAAUUCCCAGUGUAGCGGUGAAAUGCGUAGAUAUUGGGAAGAACACCGGUGGCGAAAGCGCCUUGCUGGGUCUGCACUGACACUGAGGGACGAAAGCUAGGGGAGCGAAAGGGAUUAGAUACCCCUGUAGUCCUAGCUGUAAACGAUGGAUACUAGGCGUUGACCGUAUCGACCCGGUCAGUGUCGUAGCUAACGCGUUAAGUAUCCCGCCUGGGGAGUACGCUCG
Molecule: ribosomal RNA, 825 nt
Filed under: uncultured bacterium
Lineage: Bacteria
Description: bacterial SSU rRNA
Rfam family: Bacterial small subunit ribosomal RNA
Source: RNAcentral